This 427-nucleotide ribosomal RNA is filed under the name uncultured bacterium. RNAcentral's name for it is "partial 16S ribosomal RNA". It matches the Rfam family "Bacterial small subunit ribosomal RNA", at positions 355 to 774 of the family's 1533-position model. The record is from RNAcentral.
UGGGGAAUAUUGCACAAUGGGCGCAAGCCUGAUGCAGCCAUGCCGCGUGUGUGAAGAAGGCCUUCGGGUUGUAAAGCACUUUCAGCGAGGAGGCAGGGGUUGAGUUUAAUACGCUCAAUCAUUGACGUUACUCGCAGAAGAAGCACCGGCUAACUCCGUGCCAGCAGCCGCGGUAAUACGGAGGGUGCAAGCGUUAAUCGGAAUUACUGGGCGUAAAGCGCACGCAGGCGGUUUGUUAAGUCAGAUGUGAAAUCCCCGCGCUUAACGUGGGAACUGCAUUUGAAACUGGCAAGCUAGAGUCUUGUAGAGGGGGGUAGAAUUCCAGGUGUAGCGGUGAAAUGCGUAGAGAUCUGGAGGAAUACCGGUGGCGAAGGCGGCCCCCUGGACAAAGACUGACGCUCAGGUGCGAAAGCGUGGGGAGCAAACA